This 578-nucleotide long non-coding RNA is filed under the name Vigna radiata. RNAcentral describes it as "long non-coding RNA (VRAD_LNC002841)". The record is from RNAcentral. Lineage: Eukaryota; Viridiplantae; Streptophyta; Magnoliopsida; Fabales; Fabaceae.
GGAUGGCUGAAGUUAGGGAGCGUGUGUCCCUCUUUUCCGGCUGCAGAGAAGUAAGGUGAUUGGGUGUAGGUCUGGUAUUGAUGGGAAGGCUUGCUGGAGUAGCUAGCUUGUCCUAAAUAAUUGAAGAAUGAAGAGUUUAUGGGAAUAGUGUAAGGUGGCACGCCAAUGAGAGAGUUGGAUUGAUUUGGUUAGCUAUUCACGGUGCUGUCACAUCUGGGAGUUUAAUUUUUAGUAAACAUGUUCAAAUUGGAAGAUGCAUUGCGGGCCAUGUAACGGGUUGGUGUGAGAAGGAAUUGUGCUUUGCUUGGUGGUGCACCCUGCUGCUAAGGCAGACACGUAGAACCUAAAUCCCUAAAACCCUAAUCCCUAAACCCUAAACCAUAAACCCCAAACCCCAAACCCCAAACCCUAAACCCUACACCCUAAACCCUAGGCCCUAGACCCUAGACCCUAGACCCUAAACCCUAGACCCUAAACCCUAAACCCUACACCAAAAAACCCUAAACCCUAAAAACCCCACACCCUUAACCAUAGACCCUGAACCCUAUACCCUGAACCCUAGAUCCUGAACCCUAGAC